UUCGGUCCGACACACAAAAGUGUUGGCCGGGGGCACAAACUGUGGUUGGAGGGAAAAAAAGUACUCGUGGGAACGGACAAAUUGCUACGGAAAAACAAAAGGAAACUUGUGCUAAUACCGGACGUGCCCGAAAGGGGAAAGAUUUAUCGGCAAAUGAUCGGCCCGCGUUGGAUUAGCUAGUUGGUGGGGUAAAGGCCUACCAAGGCGACAAUCCAUAGCUGGUCUGAGAGGAUGAUCAGCCACACUGGGACUGAGACACGGCCCAGACUCCUACGGGAGGCAGCAGUGGGGAAUAUUGGACAAUGGGCGCAAGCCUGAUCCAGCCAUGCCGCGUGAGUGAUGAAGGCCCUAGGGUUGUAAAGCUCUUUCACCGGUGAAGAUAAUGACGGUAACCGGAGAAGAAGCCCCGGCUAACUUCGUGCCAGCAGCCGCGGUAAUACGAAGGGGGCUAGCGUUGUUCGGAUUUACUGGGCGUAAAGCGCACGUAGGCGGGCUAAUAAGUCAGGGGUGAAAUCCCGGGGCUCAACCCCGGAACUGCCUUUGAUACUGUUAGUCUUGAGUAUGGUAGAGGUGAGUGGAAUUCCGAGUGUAGAGGUGAAAUUCGUAGAUUUUCGGAGGAACUCCCGUGGCGAAGGCGGCUCACUGGAGCAUUACUGACGCUGAGGUGCCAAAGCGUGCGGAGCACACAGGAUUUAAUACCCUGGUACUCCACGCCGUACACGAUGAAUGUUAGCCGUUGGGGAGUUUACUCUUCGGUGGCGCAGCUAACGCCCUAACAUUCCGCCUGCGGAGUACGGCCUGUUUUAUUAAAACUAAAUUGAUUUGACGUCGGUCUCGCUCCCCCGGUGGAGCGUGUGGUUUAGUUCAUGCCACGCGGCGCAACCUUACCAGUGGUUGACAUCUCGAAUUACCGUUAGCGGGAGACACUAUCCGUCAAGGUUCGCUCUGGAAUCCCACGACAGUGGC
RNAcentral lists this ribosomal RNA (966 nucleotides) under Brucella ciceri. Its description in RNAcentral is "bacterial SSU rRNA". It matches the Rfam family "Bacterial small subunit ribosomal RNA", at positions 56 to 1041 of the family's 1533-position model. The record is from RNAcentral. Lineage: Bacteria; Pseudomonadati; Pseudomonadota; Alphaproteobacteria; Hyphomicrobiales; Brucellaceae.